This 377-nucleotide ribosomal RNA is filed under the name uncultured bacterium. Its description in RNAcentral is "bacterial SSU rRNA". It matches the Rfam family "Bacterial small subunit ribosomal RNA", at positions 521 to 896 of the family's 1533-position model. The record is from RNAcentral.
UAAUACGUAGGGGGCGAGCGUUGUCCGGAUUUAUUGGGCGUAAAGGGUGUGUAGGCGGCCGCGUAAGUCAGGGGUGAAACCCCGGGGCUCAACCCCGGGCCGGCCUCUGAAACUGCAUGGCUUGAGUGCUCUAGAGGGCAGUGGAAUUGCCGGUGUAGCAGUGAAAUGCGUAGAGAUCGGCAGGAACACCAGUGGCGAAGGCGACUGUCUGGGGAGCAACUGACGCUGAGGCGCGAAAGCUGGGGGAGCAAACGGGAUUAGAUACCCCGGUAGUCCCAGCCGUAAACGAUGAGUGCUAGGUGUGAGGGGUAUCGACCCCCCUCGUGCCGGAGUUAACGCAAUAAGCACUCCGCCUGGGGAGUACGGCCGCAAGGUUG